CUCAACAUAAGUAACAUAGAAUCUGUGGGUACACUUUUGACAACAUACCUUAAAACCACAUUGUAUGCAACAAUAACCUUGUGCAAACCAUAUAUAGCUAUGCCCACCAUUUUAUAGAACAAUGUUCAAUAGACUACCAUAUGCAUAUGGGCGUGCACGAUGGAUAUUAGACACAGAACAUAGUAGUAGUAGUAUAACUUGCACAAAACUACAUGCAUGAUCUUUUAUAUUUGAGCCAGCAAGUUCUUUCAAAAGAUAACCCACAAGAAAGCACGCACUGGUCUUCUUGUGCACUAUACGUUGGGUGUUGCAAUUGCUUAUAAUAAUCUCUUUUAUUUGUUCAGUUUGAACAACCGUGGCUAGGCACUUCCUAAAGUCUUCACUUCAAGUACUUGUCAAACCAGUCGAUCAUUAGGUCAAGAGCUUGCUCAGCAGUUUUGACAGCAAAAGGGUCGGUGGUAUUAUAUCUACAAGCAAAUCCAUGUGUAGUUCCUGGAAAGAUCUUGGCGUAGUAGGGAAUCUGCAAACAACCAUGCCACAAAAAUGAGCUUUUCUAACUGAUAUAUAGUAUCCUCUAUGACGGAAUCACUAGGAAUGCAGCUCUUCUUCUUCUUAAUAUAAAGAUACGCAGCUCUCCUGCGUAUUCUUGAAAAAAGGAAUCACUAGGAACUCACCUCUGUUCUAUGACGCAGUACACUCACAUACUUGUACACUAGUUCCGGCGGUGCCUCUGAGUCAUUUUGAGCUCCAAGGAUCUCGAUUGGACAUUUAACCUCUGUUUUGAAUAAUGAUCAUAUAGUUAGCAUAUAUAUGAAAUUAAGCAUUUAAAAGUUCAGUUCCAAAGACAUCUCAAUCGAUCGAUGCUGUCUGGGAGCUAGGUUGCAAACACAAAGAAAAGGAGCUAGCAAACCUUUCAUGUCAUCAGUAGUCACAAUGUAAGGAUGAGGUAUGGAAACUACUUUAACAUCACUGGUCUUCCCCAUCUCCACACUGAACUUUCCUGUCAGAUACUCGGCAAUAGAAGAUAAGAAUUGUAUGUUCUAUGUGUUGCCUGAAGAAGGAUUUUGGAAGCUGGAAUUUCACUCACCACCCCAGGAAUAACCUCCCGCCCCGAUGGACUUUCCUUCCUUUUCUAAAGCAGCAAAGAGUGGCUUGGCGUCUUUGGCAGCUUUCACCUGCCAGAUCGAUCGGAUACUCAUCAAAUCAAUAUAGUUUUCAACUAGGCUUUGGCUUGGCUAUCGAUCAUGGCCAACCCAAUUGGCCAUGAUUGGGUCACGACCAUGGCAGUAAGAUAUAUUAUUGACCACCUAAACCAAUUAUUUUCUCGACCACCUAACCCAAUUGUUGUCUCUUGCACUGUAUCUUUACAAAGCACUUUCUCGGGUCGUUCCCAUCGGCCAUCUACGACUGUGACGCCCUGAGAAUUGAAGCGCCCUUCCUCUCUAACACCACCACAACUGCUGGCCGAAUCGAUGGCGAGCGCCGCCACGAGCGUGAUGGGGUCCGUCAUCGGCAAGCUGACUGCCAUGCUCGGCGACAAGUACCAGCUGGCCAGAGACGUGGACCAAGGGAUCCAAUUCCUCAAGGAUGAGCUGAACACCAUUGAUGUCGUGCUGCAGAAGCUCGCAGACAAGGAAGACGACCAAAUGGAUCCAAUGGCUAAAGAUUGGAGGAACAAGGUGCGUGAGCUAUCCUUCGAUAUUGAGGAUUGCAUCGACCGCUUCAUGCUCAAUCACAGCCAUGGAGGUUCCAAUGCUAACUUCAUCGACCGCUUCAUGCGUAAGGUGGAGAUGUUGUGGAAGGACCAGGGCACAGCAGGGGAGAUCCAAAAACUCGAGAUACUCGUGAGAGAGCAGAGUGAGCGGGCAAAACGCUACCGCGUCGAUCCUCUCGCCGCCUCACCUCAGCCGGUGCGCUUGGAUCCUCGAGCAACUGCCCUCUUUCAGGAGGCGAGGGAUCCUGUGGGAAUUGAUGGUCCUCGCGAGGAAAUCAUCCAGCUAUUACAAGUUGAAGAAAAUCAGCACAAGGUGGUGUCCAUCUAUGGUACCGCUGGGCAGGGGAAGACUACUCUAGCCAUGGAGGUAUACCGAAAAAUCACAGGAGCAUUUGAUUGCAGGGCUUUCGUGUCUGUCUCUCAGACUCUGGAUAUGAAGAAUCUACUCAGAGAGAACUUUUUUUUAUUUUUAACCCUUUUUUUUCUUUAUUUUUAAAAAUAACCUCACCCGGGUUUAAUUUGCGCGGCGUGACCCUUUUGACCGCGCCAGACCGCCUGGUGCGGCAGGAACACGCUGCCGCGCCGCAUGCACUGGCGCGGCGGCCCCUGCCACGCUGGCGCGGCGAGUCGCGGCGCCAGGUGGGCGCUGACGUGGGCGGGGCGUUCGCCGCGCCAGCCCGCCUGGCGCGGCAGAGCCAGCACUAGAUCGACGCGCCGGCUCCCUUCCUCCUCCCUCCCUCCUUUCUUCCUCCUCCAGACACACCCGAGCCCAAGCUUGCAGCGCCGCCCCCCGCCGCCCCACCCCCAAAUCCACCCAAAAUCCGGCGUUUUUGGUGGGGGAAAGUAGUGGAAAUCGAUCCUUGCUUCGUGUGGAAGGUAUUCCCCUACUUAUUCUCGUGUUUUACCAUUGCAUUUGGUAGAUCGGAGGAUGUUUAGGUGACUUAGGGUUAGGUUAGUGAAGCGUCCCCACAUAAGUAGAGACUAAAUGUGAUACAAAUAUCAGUCCCAGGAGGCUGAUAGCACAUUUAUUCGACAGAUAAUUCAGUUACCGUACAACUCCUGAGGGAGUGGGCGUGAGAGCCACGCAGCGAUAAACAGUAAAUAAAUAACGGCGGCUAACCAAGCGACUGCCAAAAGACAGCACUCGGGACUACACGGCAGCAGCAGCAUCUUGGAAAGGCCAACACCACAGGCAGCGUCGGGUGCGGACACAACCUCUACUCAAGGUCCUCAACGACGAAGUCCGGGUCUUCCUCUGUAGCAACAAAGCAAGGGUGAGUACAAACGUACUCAACAAGUCCAACCCCAUCCACGGAGGGGGAUACAAGUAUAUGCACAGGUCACAACAAGGAUAGGCUAGAGUUUAUUUGCGGUAAAGCCAAAUUUUAACACAUGCAGGGGAUCGUUUUCGAAAGGGUUUUUGUAAAGUUUUCCUUUAGUACCCGAAAUAUUGGGGUGGGGUUGAUCCUACACAAGGGAUCCAAGUUUUUAUCGCUAUCGGACUCCUCGUCCGCCAUAGCACACAGCACAACUGCCGGACUCUUCCAAAAUCCAACACACACACACACAUGACAUUCUUGCCCAAUUGCUAGUUAUGUGACCAAGCCGUAACUCGUCCAAUGCCGUGGACACGGCUACCCGGAUAGGUUUUAACUCUGCAGAGAGUGUACACUUUUCCCACAAGUAGGGUACCGUAUCGCGAUCACCUUAGUGACGGUACGGAUCCUAACAAAGCCAUUACCCACCUUAGCUAAGACUGGCUAGCCCUCACGGAAACACCCAAGGGGUUCACGGCUCGUCCACGAGACCGUAACUGGGACCUAAGUCACCAAGAUCUUACUCCUUUUCCAUGGGCUCCCGUUGCUCACCAGCACCCCUGAGGACUAACAAUUCAGCUAGUGGGGUUUAUGCUAGGCCGUUGCCCAUACAACGGUCGAGUGGUUGCACGAUGGCGGAAUUAGGCAAGAUGACACAUCAACUCGGUCCUUAAUUACGACAAGAUGGAUAUCUCCCGACAUUGCUCAACCACCAAGGUACGAGCACAACAAACUAGCAUCCCACACAAGGAAUACCCAUCCAUCCUGUCUACACAUCCUUUUCCCUUGAACCCGAAAAGCCAUUUUUCUCACUUGCACACACACACGUUUAUUUUCCGAAAACACCAUGGUAAUAAUGAUUGCAGUUGAGUAAUAAAUUCCUAAGCGUUCUAGCAGUGGUUAUCAUCUAAACAGAGCAAGUCGUAUUUAGAGAUAAGCAUAGGAUAGCAAGGAAUGUUCAUAACAAUCAAGGGGUGGCUAUCCAACCAUGUCUUGCGAUGAAAUAAUAUGCAUUUUGUAAAACCGGCCAAUAGGUUGUGUUUGAAAAACUAGGUAUUAAGUAUGCAUCAAAGGGUGAGAUUGGACUUGCCGUCUUCAAAGCCUUCCGGGAGUUCCGGCUCGCGGUACUGGUCCUCGGGCUCGGGCUCGCGGUCAAACUCCUCCUCGGGCUCCUCCUCGGGUAAUUCGCGAUCUACGGCACACACAAACAGACACACAAAUAAAUAAAAGAGGAAACGGUUUUUAACCGUGAGCUCCGAACAGGAAACGUGAACGGAAAAUAGGUAGAAGGAUUAUUUUUGGGAAAUUUGGAUAUAGAUCGGCGGAAGUAUUCCUGAAGAUGACGUGGUGAAAUUUGGGUUUAAUUGGAGGAAGUUUGGCGCAUGAAAUGACGGGUUAAACAUGAAUUAGGGGCUUAAACGGAGGUUUAGGACUGAUUUAUAAUAAACCAGGGACCUAUUUGUAAAUACUUUUGGAGGUGGAGGGGCUUAUCUGUGAAAAGGCUAUGAGAGAGAUGGGGGAUCUAUGUGUAAUUUGGGGAAAGUUGGGGGUCAGAUCCAAAAUCUGGGUAUUCUUAUCCUCUUCUCCAGGAACUUGGAGAGAGGGAGAGUGGGGAGAGGAUAGGCCGGCGGCCGGCCGGCCGGGCUUCGCCGGCGGCGAGCCGUGGGCGGAGGGGCGGUGGAGGGAGUUGAGGGGGCCCCAUUUUGCCUCACCUCGGGCAGGUGGCGUUGGAGGAGUGGCGGGGCACCGGCGCCCGUGGGGCGGCGGCGGCGGCAGGGAUGCGGCAGCGGCGGAUUGGCGACGGGCGGCACAGGGGUGGAGGUGGCGAGCUGGGAGGGGAAUGGUUUGGCAAGGGAGGCCGGUCGUGCCCCUAUUUAUAGGCCGACGGGGUGGUGACCGGAGGUAGGGGCCGGUUACUGGCCGGCGGCGGAAGCUCGGCGGCCACGGCACCGGUGGCAUGCCGGGCAGGAGGUAGGGCCGGCGAGGCGGCGUGGUGCGGGGCCGAGACGGCCGGCACGGGAGGGCGGCGUGCGGGACCGGGGAGGCCGGCGCCGGAGUGGAUGGCGCAGGCGGCCGGGGACCGGACUGGGCGCGCGGUUCGAGGGAGGCAGCGGCGUGGCUGGCGCCGGGACGGGCGACGGGCCCCACACGCGGGGAGGCCGAGCGGCGUGGCGCCAGGAAGAAGGAAGAGAAGGAGAGAGAAGAAGGAAGGAGGAAGAAGAAGAAAGAAGGAGGAGGAAGAAGAAAGAGCGGCGUGGACUUACUUGCAAUUUCAGCCAUGGCAUCGAGACAAUGCUCUUCCCACAUUCUAUCACGUGUGGAAGCAUGUGCGGCCCGUUCGUGGCAAUCCGGAUAGGUGCUACAGGGCCUACACGAACGAGUUUGAUGUUCUCACGCACUACCAGGUAAUUUGCUAACCAUAGUUUUUUAAGCUAAUUUGCGUAUAAUCGUAGAUGAAAUAAGUAUUGCGUGAAAAUUUUUGAAGGUGGAGUGGAAAUCGUAUGACCGUGAGCAGCUUAGCCAUAUCGUCUUUUCACCGACGUGCUACAGAGACAGAGAGCUGUGGAGGUGCACGACCCCAAUGAUAUUGUACUACGUGGUAGAGUUUCAUAUGCCGCAUAGGGUGAUGCGGCAGUUUGGGAGGAUGCAACCGUGCCCUCCUUUGGAAUUAUCGACUUCGCAGCAGCUGCACAGGUACGCAGGAAUAAAUAACUAUUGGAGGCUAUUCAAUUAACGCAAUUAACAUGUUAUACUAAUACUUCACUAAUUUCUGAUGCAGUAUCGACCGCAGAAAGCGGUACAAGGAGAAUGAUUGGAGGUUGAAGCAUGGCCAGUACCUCCUCCUGUGGCAGAACAAGCAAGGAUGCGAUCCUGAAGGUGGACCGUACUGGCGACCAAACAAUGAGUACAUAAGAUGGUACUGUACUUCGACGAGAACCAAAGUGAAACCAUCUUGGACUAAUGUGCCCAUUGAGGAUGCACCGUCUGAUGAUGACGCUGACAUAGCUGACGCGUACGACACGGUGACACGCCAUGGGACACAGCCUGAGCGUGCACCUCUCCACGACUACAUGGUAAGAUUUCGGUUUGUAAUUAUAGUAUCGUCACAUUGAUCACUUAUGGAAUGAAAACUCCUGCGUGCAGGGACAGCAGCUUGCAAGGCUCUCAAACGAGGCGGGCGUGAUUAUGGAGCACGCUGUCGGGGAAGGUGAUAGUCUGCUUCGUGCUUUUGCAGAGGUAGAAGCCCAAACUAAUUUUCACUUAUACUCGUACUAUCUUUGUAACCAUCAAUAACAUAGUCGUGAAUAUAUGGCAGAGGGUUCGUAAAAGUUGCAGGCGAAUGGCUAUGAGGAUGAACUGCAUGACAUCCUCAGAUGCGCACGACGGGGGCAAUGUCCAGGGUACUUCUUUAGGAUCACGUCGGACUGCAUUGGCGACUACCCCCAGGGCUGCAACACCGUCCACUGCGGCAGGUCCUAGCAGGAGAUCGCGAGGUAAGGAACCCGCAUCCCCUCAGGAAAGCGAGGACUCUGAAGGUGAGCAGUCUGAGGAUGAUGACCCUACGUAUGGUGAGGAACUCGAGAUUUCUCACGAUGCUCCACCUGUGACUCAGACGCAGGGAGAGUCCAGCCAGGUAUAUUCACAAGUUUCUCCAAAUUCAAUUAUACAUUUUAAUGUUCGCUCCCGAAGUGUCAUACAAAUUUUAUGAUUUGUGCCCAAUUAUUUCAUAGGAACCUACAACUCGUACCCGGUUGCCACGCCGGCGUCAUCGUUCCCGGGACCACAUCGACGUUGGCAGCGCCAAUGUGCUGCCCACGCAUCCAAGGAGGGAGCGUCGCCCAAGAGAUCCUUUUAGCCCUCCGGAUGAGCGGCGGUCACGACACUGAACCUAGCAUGUCCCAAGACUUUUGGAACCAUCACGUGUGUAAAAGACUAAGUUGGUUGUUAGGUUUAUUCAUGUCACGUUUGUAAAAGACUAAGUUGGUUGUUACAUUUUUUUUAUGUCCGUACAAUGUUAUAUGUUUGCUCCAUGAUGUACUUGUAGUUCGUGUAUUUUUUCGUAAAUGUUCAGAACAAAAAUACGUUUCGGAUUGUGCAGCGCGGUCCUGACGCCCCACCCUCCUAGGCUGAAACCUACUGAAAGGUUACUAAAAUUGACGCCCCAUCCCCCCCGGAAACCUACUGACCCCCCGCCCGAAACCUACUGAAAGGUCGUUGCGUUUGGCGCGGCACCUGACUCCUGCCGCGCCAGGUGGCCUGGCGCGGCAAGACCCCCCCCCCCCCCCGACCGAAACCUACUGAAAGUUUGGUGCAGUUGGCGCGGCAACUUCCUCCUGCCGCGCCAGGCCGGUUGGCGCGGCACCUUACUCCUGCCGCGCCAGGCCGCCUGGUGCGGCAAGAGUCCCCCCCGACCGAAACCUACUGAAAGUUUGGUGCAGGUGGCGCGGCACCUCAAUCCUGCCGCGCCAGGCCGCCUGGCGCGGCAAGGACCCCCCCCCCCCCCCCCCCCCCGCCCGAAACGUACUGAAAGUUUGGUGCAGUUGGCGCGGCACCUCAGUCCUGCCGCGCCAGGCGGCCUGGCCCGGCAAGGCCCCACCCGAACCCUUGUGGCGGUUCGUUUUGUUUGCCGCGGGACGGCCCCCACCAACCGAACUUUCAGCGGCAAGCCCCCUCCCCUGCCACCAGCGCAUUUCUGCUUCGCCAGGCGGAGUGGCGCAGCAAGCCCGUGGUUAGGAUAGAGAAUAAUAUUUAUUAGUAGGCCCGGUAAUUCUGGCUACAUUUAACACAAGGCACAUGGUACUGACAAGACGCCCACAAAGUGUUCUGCAAUAGGAUUAGAUCAGACCGGUGCGCAAUCAUGGAUAAGAAUAACACACACGUGCAUUAAAUGUUAGGGGUACGUAUUUCCCCAUUCGUACUUCGUCUUCUACUAUUAUUGCAUCACAAAUACCUUCAAGUACACCCGCUCUACCAGCGCUAUGCCUUCCUCCUCUUCCACCGCCCACUCCUCCUCGUCCUCCAUCCAAAUCAUCGAUCCCAUCGAAGCUACUACUAUUUUUUUCACACUCUAGCGCUGACUACUAGCUCGGAGAGGAAACUUUGAUGCGUUUGGACAUAGUUCUCUCGGAAAUGAAAAUAGUUUUUGACAACUAAUUGUAGUUCCCAGAAUAAACAUAAACAUAAUUUUCUCAUAAAAGAACAUAGUUUUCACAGCUACAGAGAAACAUGAUCCAGCUACAUCAACACGUUCAUCUAGUCCGAGUCACCUUCAUAUAGUAACUCGUCGUCAUCAUCAUCAUCAUCAUCAUCAUCUCCGGCAACAACAACUCCCUUGCGUUUCUUAUCGACAUUAACCUUACCAACAGGUAAAUCGGCAACAAGAGCCUUCAUCGUCUCCAUCUGUGCCUCUUCCGCUUUUUGUUGUAACUCUUCCAUUUCAAGCCUUCUUUUUCUUGCCCUAACUUUCUGCAAAUAUUGUUCCCAUGAACCCUCAGGGUAUUUCACAUUCGGAUCAACCACAUAACCUAAGCGAUCUCUUUCCUCCCUCAACCUUUGUUUCUCCAACUCCCUCUCCUCCUGCAACUUUCUCCUAUUUUCUCUCCUCUCAUUUUCAGUUAGAGGUCGUGGAUACUUGGAUCUAUUUUGCCUCCAAUACUUAAUAAUAGUUUCCCUUGCAUAAAGUCCUUUAGGUUCCACUCCAGUCUCAUGCACCAUAUCUUGAUAUAUUUUCCCCCAAAGCAAGUCGUCGUCAGGAAUAGGCACAUCAUACUUCUUCCUAAUCUUUUCUUUAAUUUCUUGUUGUUUCCUUGACUUCCAUGGUUCCGAUGUAUUUCCCAACUUUAAUAACAAAUCAUAUCGACCACAAAAAUCUUCCCAAUCACAUGUCCUUCCCUCCUGCAACAACAAUUCAAUAUUCCUUACAAAUUUGAAACAAGUUACAACCUUCAUAAAACAUAAGAGACGAGUAGUUACUAACCCAGUAAUCGCCAUGUGCAUUUCCACAGAACGAACCAUAUCCAAGUUCAGAAGGCACCACACCUUCUGUUGCCAAUAUACCACACUUGCAUCUAUCACUAGGAGAGGACACACAUGGCCACGGUGCAUUUUCACUUUCAAACUCCCGCACUUCCUCCUCUGUUGGCCACAUUGCCAUUGGGCCGUAUAUAUACUCAUUGAAAUCACACAACGGCCACCCAUCCUGCAAAAAACCCAUGACGUGAACUACUCAUAUGUAAAGUAACUACAAAACGCUGCUCCAACUUCCAAGCAAUAACAUCAAGUUAAAGUAUGAACAAUAUACUGCAAAAUUAUAACUGCUAGCUAAACGACAUACUAAUAUUCUCGUAAUAUACUUACAUGAGUCUUUAGGGAGCAUCGAAAGAAUGGAGUAAACUUAGGUGGAUCCCCUAAGUUAGGACGCAUAAGCUUAGCAGGAACACCACACUUGCACAUGGGAGGAUCCCUCACACGCCUACAAGCAGCCUCCUGCUUCUCCUCCUCGGUCAUCCUAGGUGGGUUUGGUGGAGGAGGAACCCAACGCCUAAACUGAUGGUAUGGUUUAAGCUCUGUGCUAUGAUAUGUGAAUAGGUGGAUCCUAGGAUCAUAUUUGUCGGGUCCAUCGAUCCACUGAAAGAAAUCACAAGGUGCGGCAGGCAGUGGAUCAAAAGUCCAUUUGCAUACAUAGAAGGCUCUUCCGGCUGUCUUUGGAUGCCUUGAUUGUUUCACCUCUGCUUGCGCGCCACAUCUACAAAGAGGUACCGGAAGGGCAGGAGGUACGGGACCAGCACCAUUGGACUCGCCCACAUAACGCACAUACCACCUACGCCGUUUGUAUUCACAACCAAACAACGCCAUCUCACCUGGAAAUCAAGUGCAACAAAUUUAAUACACAAAUAAACUUUACACACGUAAUCCAUACUAGCUAUAUACAUCAUUUUGAUAAAAUGUAAACACUCGAUCUACAAAAUACAAACACUGAAACAAAAAUGAGACUAAUUAAUUGAAGAUAUAAAAAAAAUACAUGUCAUGUAAACCACACAAUUGGAUGAAUAUAUACCUAAAUCGAAGCAUUCAACAAGUUCUACACGUCAAUAUCGCGGGCAGAGACUCAAUUGCGUAUGAACUACGUAUCAUCUAACACAAAACACCAUUGCAUUUCAUUGAAAUUUCAAAUCACUAACCUAACCCUAAGUCACCUAAACAUCCUCCGAUCUACCAAAUGCAAUGGUAAAACACGAGAAUAAGUAGGGGAAUACCUUCCACACGAAGUAGGGAUCGAUUUCCACUACUUUCCCCCACCAAAAACGCCAGAUUUUGGGUGGAUUUGGGGGUGGGGCGGCGGGGGCUGGCGUUGCAAGGUGCUGCUGUGUGGUGUGUCUGGAGGAGGAAGAAAGGAGGGAGGGAGGAGGAAGGGAGCCGGCGCGUCGAUCUAGUGCCGGCCCUGCCGCGCCAGGCGGGCUGGCGCGGCGAACGCCCCGCCCACGUCAGCGCCCACCUGGCGCCGCGACUCGCCGUGCCCGUGCAUGCGGCGCGGCAGCGUGUUCCUGCCGUGCCAGGCGGUCUGGCGCGGCCAAAAGGGUCACGCCGCGCAAAUUACACCCGGGUGAGGUUAUUUUUAAAAAUAAAGAAAAAAAGGGUUAAAAAUUAAAAAAAGUUCACUCAGAGAUAUAUUGUCUCAAAUAGUAAGCAAGAAUGAGUUUGACCAGUUGUAGUCGGAAAAUUGGGAGACGCUGCAGCUCAUAUGCAAAAUGAGAGACUACUUAAUUGGCAAGAGGUAACCAGAAAUACUUUCUUGUACUAUAAUAAUUAGCCAGUUCAUCUAGCUAUGGCAAUGUUGUGAGGUCUUUGUCAAUCACAUGAGCUCACCUAAUUUAUCGGCCAUUUUACGAUUGUAUUUUACGGACCCAUUCGAGCACUACGGGAAACCUCAAAGUCGCCGAGUGUAAUUACUUCACCGAGUGCAUUUUUUCGGGCACUCGGUGAAGGACCUUUUUGCCGAGUGUAAUAUCAAAAACACUCGGCAAAAAUCAAACACUCGGCGAACGACCGGUUUGCCGAGUGCCACCCAAAAAACACUCGGCAAACAUCCAAGAGACACUCGGCAAAGUUGGACACUCGGCAAACUGACGACCACGUGACUUCCCCGUGCCGCCGCCGGCAGCCCUCCGUGACGGACGUUAGUCUUUGCCGAGUGUCAAUGGAGGGCACUCGGCAAAGGCACUAGUUUGCCGAGUGUCAUGAUGGGACACUCGGCAAAGUGGCCUGUAUGCCGAGUGCUAGGGGGCACACUCGGCAUACUAUAGGGUUUGCCGAGUGUCUUUUGACACACUCGGCAAAAAUAAUUUUUUUUCCCUCCUCCACCCUCCAAACUUUUUACACUCCACAUGUAUGGCAUUUGGCACUGCAUGGUAGAAGAUGGACUAUUUUUUGACCUGUUUGCUAUAUUUAAUCAAUUAAUUUCAUUUAGAGUAAUUUUUUGAUUUAAGUCAAAUUUGAACUGCAGGUGGUUGGAAUAAUGGAAUAACAUGAGUGGAAAAAUCAUAUUCAUGUUAGUGAGUCCAAAUUGAGGUCUCACCCAGAAAAUGAAAAGAAAUUUCGAACAUUUUGCUAAGGAAACACGACUACGAACGUGUGGCCAAAUGAUUGUUUAAUUCUCAAAAAUACAAACGAAGUUUGAAAAUCAUGAGAUUUUGCAAGAUGCUAUGAUUUCGUAUGCAGAGGCUGUGGUAAAAAAUUGACAAGGUUUCGCACAAGUUUUGACAUAUGAUGUUUAGAAUUCGAAGCAUCUACCGAGAGGAUUCGUAGAAGUUGAAAGGAUCCGGUAAGAUUUUGAGACGAAUCGAUACAUGUAUUUUUCAUUGAGUCCAAUCUUUUUUAUAGGCUAUAGAGAACAUAGAUUGGUUCAUGUCAAAUUUUGGGAAUUUUUCAGAUCCGUUUGGUAAUUUUUAUUCAUUAAUUGCAUGUAUAUAAAUUUAAUAGAUAUAAAUUUAAUAUGAGCUAUAAAUCCAUGAAAUGAUGGAACAAUAUUACUUAAAAAAUGAAAUACGCAAUGUUUAGUGAAUUUGACUAGGUUUUUGCAAACUUUACAAUCUUUUAAUUACUAAAACUAGUUUCACAUGAAAUAAUAGUACUCAUUUGCCGAGUGUCAAGGGAUGGCACUCGGCAAAGAGCCUAUUUGCCGAGUGUCCAAUUUGGGACACUCGGCAAACAUCGCCGCGGUCCACCUGCCAGCCCCCUGCGAAAUCUGAAUAAAAAAAUUAAAAAAAAAUGUUUGCCGAGUGCUUAUGAUCUAGCACUCGGCAAAGGCUUUGCCGAGUGCUAGAUCAUAAGCACUCGGCAAACAUCGCCGCGGUCCACCUACCAGCCCCCUGCGUAAUCCGAAUAAAAAAAUUAAAAAAAAAUGUUUGCCGAGUGCUCCUGAUCUAGCACUCGGCAAAGGCUUUGCCGAGUGCUAGAUCAGGAGCACUCGGCAAAGUGGCCUUGGCAGCACUUAGCCACGCACGCACACGCCCGGCCACACGCACGCACGCCUUGGCAGCACUUAGCCACGCCCGCAGCCGCCCCGGCCCCUGCGCCCGCGCCGCCGCCGCCGCCCGCCCGGGCCGGGAUAAGGCCCCGACCUCCCCUGCGGCCCCGGCCGGCCUCCCCUGCGCCCCCGGCUGGCCUCCCGCGCCGGCCCCCCACGGCCGUCCUCGUCCGGCCGUUCGGCCGCCGCACCGUCCCCCGGCCGCCCCUCCGGUAAGUUGAAAAUAUUAGAGAAUGCAUGAUAACAUUGCAAAGAAUAGAGGAAGAGUAGAAAUUAGAAAAUGUUGAUUCUUCCUUGAAUGGAAAAAUAUUAGAGAAUAGAGGAAGAAUAGAGGAAGAAUAUUAGAGAAUAGAGGAAGAAUAGAGGAAGAAUAUUAGAGAAUGCAUGAAUGGAAGAGAGGUGUGGUUGGUAAUAGAGAAAAUGUUGAUUCUUCCUUGAAUGCACGGUAACAAAUUAGAAAAUGUUGAAAAGAAUAGAGGUGUGGUUGGUUGUGGUUGUGGUUGUUGGCCAUCGUGCCAACUCUUUGGUGAGAUUGUGGUUGUCGGCCAUCGUGCCGUUUCUUAUGUUGCAGGUUUUGGAAAGCUCCCCGUGCAGGGGAGAUGCUGCCGAAAUUUUGACUUAAACAAUGCUUUGUUUCUUUUGUUGCAGGAGAGGCUUACAAGGACCGUCCUCGACUCGUCACUUUGCAGGAUAGCAAGGUGAGGCAUGCUACACCUCUAUUUCCGUAUAAUGUUUGUAUAUCACGUAACCUAGUUAGGCGUCUCCCGUUCGAAAGAGAUACGGUUGGAAAUAUGCAGAUCUUUGCAUAUCUAUAAUCGUAUCUGUUUCAAAUUGUCCACGUUUUUUGGACAGCCCGAGGAUGUGUAGGUGGGUUUAGUAUCCACGGUCUACUCCGACCCGAGAUAAAAUUUCGGCAGCACCUCCCUGUUGUUCUCUAGAUACACAAUCUCCUAUCAUGGACGUGUAUUUGGAGAACAGCGGGGAGGUGCUGCCGAAAUUUUAUCUCGGGUUGGAGUAGACCAUGGAUACUAAACCCACCUACACAUCCUCGGGUGGGAUUAGGACCUAUCUUUACCUAGUAGACAAUAUAGGAAUGUGUAUAUGCAAUGUGAAUUUUGUAUUACUUAUUUAAAUGGUAGAGGAUGGAGGAUCGUCAGUGGAUGUACACGGGUCGCACUAGUCAGAAUACGUUGACCAAUGAAUGGCUUGACAAGACGGAUGCUUUCUUGGAACGGGCGUUUGCAAGUGUCAAUGGAGCUCGAUCGACUUGGUGUCCGUGCAGCAAAUGUGGAAACAUGCGUCGGCAAACCAAGCUAGACAUGGGCAAACAUCUGGUGAAGAACGGAUUUACGUCAGACUACACCAGGUGGAUCUACCAUGGUGAAUCUGACCGUGGGAGAGAGGAGGUCUUGAGACAACGCAUCGAGGAAUUUGAUGAUGAUGCCGGGGUGGGAGACAUGUUAAAUGACUAUCAUGAAGCACACUUCGAAGAGGCACGUAGGGAGGAGGAGCCAGAGGCUACCGCUAAGGCUUAUUACGAAAUGUUGUCUGCGGCACAGCAACCCCUUCACGGCCAUACCAAGAUUUCUCAGCUAGAUGCCAUUGCACGCCUAAUGGCUGUGAAGUCUCAGUUUAGUUUGAGUCGAGACGCGUUUGAUAUUAUGUUGACAGUUUUUGGAAGCCUGCUCCCGGUUGGUCACAUCUUGCCAAAGAGCAUGUAUGAGGCACAGAAACUCCUUCGUGCACUUAAGAUGCCAUACGAGCAUAUACAUGCUUGCCCGAAGGGAUGCAUCUUAUUUAGAAAAGAGUAUGCGGAAGCAAAAUACUGUGUGAAGUGUGAAUCGUCUAGAUUUCUGGAGGUUGACUAUGGUGACGGUCAGAAAAAGCAGCUCGCAAUUCCUGUGAAGGUUCUACGGUAUCUUCCUUUCAUACCGAGGAUCCAACGGCUUUUCAUGACUGAAGAAUCCGCGAAACAGAUGACAUGGCACAAAAAUAGCCGUUGCUAUAAUCCUGAGAAGCUGGUACACCCAUCCGAUGCUGAAGCCUGGAGAAGCUUUGAUGCGAUUUAUCCUGCAAAAGCUCUAGAGGCCCGUAACGUACGCAUUGCGUUGGCAACUGAUGGGUUCAAUCCCUAUGGAAUGGCGGCCGCCCCGUACACCUGUUGGCCCAUUUUCGUUAUCCCCCUGAAUCUCCCACCCGGCGUCCUAUUUCAACGACAUAAUAUAUUCUUGUCGUUGAUAAUUCCAGAGCAUCCGGGGAAUAAUAUGAGUGUGUAUAUGGAGCCUCUGAUUGAUGAUUUGCUCCGUGCUUGGGAGGAAGGGGUAUGGACCUAUGACCGAUCCACAAAGACAAACUUCAAGAUGCAUGUUUGGUACCAGUACUCACUGCAUGACUUGCCGGCAUAUGGGAUUUUCUCCGGAUGGUGUGUUCACGGGAAGUUCCCAUGCCCAAUAUGUAAAGCAUCUUUGAAGUUCAUUUGGUUGUCGAAAGGUGGCAAAUAUUCUUCGUUCGACAAACAUCGACAAUUCCUCCCUCCUGACCAUCCAUUUAGACGAGACAUGAAGAAUUUUACCAAAGAUGUUGUAGUUACAGCCCCCGCACCACCGAUGAUGACAGGGGCCGCAGUUCGUGCUCAGUUAGACGCUCUUGAGUUCAAUAAUGAAGAAGGUGGUUUUUUGGGAUAUGGCGCGCAACAUGCUUGGACGCAGAAGUCGUGCUUGUGGAAGCUUCCCUAUUUUGAUGAUCUCCUUGUUCCACAUAACAUUGAUGUAAUGCACACGGAAAAAAAUAUCGCCGAGGCAAUUUUUGGUACAAUAAUGGACAUUCCUGACAAGACAAAGGAUAACGUUAAGGCUAGAGUGGAUCAAGCGACAUUGUGCAACAAACCACAGCUAAACAUGGCGCCUCCAAGAGCUGGCAAGUCGUGGAGAAAGCCUAAGGCCGAUUUCAUUCUGACGAGGGCCCAAAGGAGGGAGGUUCUAGAAUGGUUCCAAACAUUAAUGUUCCCUGAUGGCUAUGCAGCGAACUUGAAGAGGGGAGUGAAUUUAGCAACUAUGCGAAUCAACGGGCUCAAGAGUCAUGAUUACCAUAUAUGGCUUGAGCGCCUCCUUCCGGUGAUGGUUCGAGGCUAUGUCCCUGAGCAUGUGUGGCAGGUGCUAGCGGAGUUGAGCAAUUUCUUCCGCCGGCUUUGUGCGAAGGAGUUAUCUCGUACCGUGGUUGCAGAAAUGGAAACAAUGGCGCCUGUGUUGCUCUGUAAGUUGGAGAAGAUCUUUCCUCCAGGCUUCUUCAAUCCAAUGCAGCAUAUGAUUCUACACCUCCCGUAUGAAGCACGAAUGGGGGGGCCUGUGCAGGGUCGUUGGUGCUACUCAAUUGAGAGAUGUCAAAAGGUUCUUCGAACUAAAUGUAAGAAUAAGUGCAAAAUUGAAGCAUCCAUUGCAGAGGCAUACAUUCUGGAGGAGGUGUCAAACUUCACAUCGAAAUACUACGCUGACAACCUUCCUAGCGUGCAUAAUCCACCUCCUCGUUACAAUGCUAGUGAAGAUGAAUUAAGCCUUAGCAUUUUCCGAGGGCAACUCGGAAGUGCAAGUGGUGCGACCCUCAAGACCCUUAACCAUGAAGAGUGGCGCUCUAUCAUGCUGUAUGUGUUGACCAACCUAUCUGAAGUGGAGCCGUACAUGAUGUAAGUCAUCGACAAACUUGUUUCGACGUAUUAAUGGUAUCUCUUGCCUAAACGUAUCUUUCUUGUUGGUAUAGGCAAUUUCAUCGUCAAUUCUGGCAUAAAUCAAGGCAACCGGCCCCGCACGAAGCUGAGACUCUUCUUAAAGAGGGUGCGGGAAAUGGAAUGCCCGAUUUCAUUUCUUGGUUCAAACAGAAGGUACAAUUUCAUUUCUUCGAACAUUCUCGUUCUCGUCCGAUAUAGAUUUCAACCCAGACGACCCGUCCGAGGCGUACAGCCACCCUAGCAUACACAGCCGCGUCAGCGAGUACACAAAGAUGGCUAGGGAGGUUCACGGGCCAGACUUUGAUCCGAGCUCCGAGGACAUUGAUGGACAAAUCGUGAUGAGGGUGGGAGGAGGCAAGAAGCAUGGCCGAUAUUGGAUUGGCGACGGCGUCAUCGACACGGCCUCUACUCCCACUCUCUCCCAGAUUCGAGCUAGGAGCACGGACUCGAGCCCGGCGGUACGCCCAUGACCCACCGCUGCAUAGUUCCAGAUGGAGGCUCUACAGGUUCUUUCUCUUCCAUUCAUCGUUCGUUUGUUGUUGUACUUUAGCUUUGCAUUAUAACAUUGCAAUGAAAUAUUGUAGGCCCAGGUGGAAGAAUCAAGGAAGAAACAAGAGGAGAUGGCGGCGCAGAUGGAGGAAAUGCGGCGGAGGAUGAAGGAGGAAAACCGGAUUAGGAUGGAGCAGAUGUUCCAGUACAUGCAGAACUUUGCUUCGAGCAUGGGACAGUCUUUGCCUCCGCCACCGCCGAUGAUGUUCCCUCCGCCUCAGCCACCCACGACUACUCCUGUGAGUCACUUGACACAUUGUGCUUAAGAUUCAAUAGUUUAAAUUUGACAACUUUAGAUGUUACCUCAGAAUGUCCUAUCCUAUGUGCAGAAUCAAUCGGCGGCUUCGAAUAAUGAAGAUCAAGAUUUGUCGCAGUGGUCUCCUUGGCCUCCACGGAAGUAGACUUGGUUGUGAACAAUGUGGAAACUAAAUUGUGACAAGAACUUGGAUUUAUGGAUUAUUUCGUGCUUAUGUUGAAUUAUGCCUGUGAUGUUUAUGAAUUAUGCCUGUGGUUGUGAAUUAUCCAUGUGAUUGUUUAUUACAAAUGCCUGUGAUAUGUGUAUUGUGAAUUGAGAGGGGUCCGUUAUACGUGGCAAAAUGUCGAAAAAGGGGCGGUUCUGGUCACUUUGCCGAGUGUAACACUCAGCAAAGAGGGGCCUUUGCCGAGUGUUUUGGCCUUAACACUCGGCAAAGGGGCAUUUCCCAGGUGUAGGAAAGGUCCUUUGCCGAGUGUUUUGGCCUUAACACUCGGCAAAGGGGUAUUUCCCAGGUGUAGGAAAGGUCCUUUGCCGAGUGCUAUGGUCAAGGCACUCGGCAAAGGGGCAUUUUUUGCCGAGUGCUAUGGUUAGGGCACUCGGCAAAGGGGGCCGCUUUGCCGAGUGCCCGGGACCCGGCACACGGCAAAGGGGGCCGGUUUGCCGAGUGCCCCGUGGAUGACACUCGGCAAAGGUCCGGUCUUUGCCGAGUGUUGGCACUCGGCAAAGACCCGGUGUUUGCCGAGUGCCUCCCGUUUGGCACUCGGCAAACCCGCCGUUACCCCGACGCCGUCAGUCCGCAAUUCGCCGAGUACACCUUUUCGCUGAGUGUUUUUUGGCCGUCGGCAACAUGUUUGCCGAGUGUUCGAGUUUUGACACUCGGCGAACUAGUCUUUGCCGACCACAUAUGCAUUUGUUACAUGAUUCCUCAACCAAUAUAAUGCAUGCAGGUACUUCAUCUUGAUUGAUGAUAUCUGGAAUGUAUCAGAUUGGGAGCUUGUAGAAGCUGCCUUACCUCGCAAUGACAACGGAAGCAGAAUAAUUACUACAACACGCAGUAAAACAGUAGCCGAAACAUGUGCUGGUAUUGACGCACAAAUGUACAAAGCAAAGCCACUUGGUGAUGACGAAUCUCGCAGAUUAUUCUUUAAAAGGCUAUUUCACUCAACUGAACAUUGUCCCCAAGAUUUGAUGGCAGUAUCCAGUGAUAUUUUGAGGAAAUGUGGGGGAUUACCAUUAGCCAAAUCAGUAUAGCUGGUUUAUUAGCAAACAGAAGCCAAACCAAGGAAGUCUGGGUCAAUGCAUUGAAGUAUAUUUCUGCUGCAGUUGACAAAGAUUCUCACAUUGAUAAAAUGAAAAGAAUUUUUCUGCUUAGUUACUUCGACCUUCCUCUUCAUCUAAAGAGCUGUAUGUUAUAUCUGAGCGUGUUCCCGGAGGAUUAUGUGAUUGAUUGGAGCCGGUUGAUAUUGUUAUGGGUAGCCGAAGGACUGAUUCCUGGACAAGGCAGAGAAAAUAUGGAGCAGCUUAGGAGGAGUUACUUGAAUGAAAUUAGAGGCUUGGUCCAGCCAACCAAGGUUGGGGCAGAUGGCGCAACAGCGAAAGAGUGCAGAGUUCAUGAUGUCAUACUUGAGUUUAUUGUAUCAAAGGCUGUGGAGGACAAUUUUGUUACUAUAUGGAAUUGUAAUGGGUUUUCUGAAAAUUAUUCUUCUAACAAGAUUCGCCGUUUAUCUAUCCAAAAUGGCAUUUCUAGGCGGUCUAAAGAGAUGGAGAGGAUAAAAGAACAUGCAACUCAUAUUCGAUCAAUUAAUAUUUUUGACCCUAAUUCAGUGCUGCUAAUUAAAAACACCUCUAUGUUUUUAAGUAGCCAAGUCUUGCGAGUGCUGAAUACAGAAACUCAGGAUGAGUUACUUGAAGAAGAUUGCUAUCUUGGACAUGUCAAAAGUUUUGGUCAAAUGAAGUACUUGAGGUUAAAAUUUUGGUCAUCAAUAUGCCACUGCAAACUCCCAAAAGAUAUAGAAAAGCUGCAACAUCUAGAGACACUAGAUGUUAGGAAUACCCGCAUUAAAAAACUACCGGCUAGCAUUACCCAACUGCAGAGAUUAGUGCGUUUUCUUGUCAAUGCUGAGGUAAAACUACCUGAUGGGAUUGGAAAUCUGCAGGCAUUGGAAGAGCUAUCAUUGAUCGGGUUGAGUUUUCAAACUAUCAAGUUUAUCCUGAGUUGGAAUUUAUUGGGAGUACCCUUAUGCAGUAGUACGUCACGUGGACGUGGAAGUAUGUAUCUCGUCACUCUCCAAGCUUAUCACAACCCUUCGAAAACUGCACGUCGUGGAUGCUCCAUUCAUGUCUUCGUGUGGCUCUACUCCACCACCCCUUCGGAGGCUCAUCUUUUACGGACGUGGUGGACCAUCAAAUCAUCAGCUCAGCAGUCAAGGAUUCCAGCAUUUAUAGUCAAGUCUAAUUUCGUGUGUGCUGAUGAGGGGGUGUUGGAGUUUGAGCCAGGAGCCAAGAUUAAUUAUGAGCACGGGGUCAAGUUGUGGCUGGUGGCACGGGGUCAGUUCAAUUAUGAGCAAGGCGGCCUGGUCCUUGGGCUGCAGAAUCUGGCAGGCCUCAGACAUGUUGCUCUUACUAUUGACUGUGCGUGAUUUGGAGGAUGACAUCAGGGUUGCAGCAGGCGCCCAUCCCAACUGUCCCAUGGUCCAGCUGGUCAAAAAAGUACGUCAAGAUUGUAUGGCUCAAGGGUGCAGCAGGCGCCCACGCAACCAUCCCAUGCUAGAAGCACAAUGACCAAGUAAAUGCAUGGUGUGGAGAAUAAAUAUCAUUAUCAAUGAUGAUCUUUUUUUUCCUGUUUCAAGAGCACGUUGGAAUUAAACAAGGUUAAUUCGAUUUGUUUUCAUCUUAGUUUUUGCUUUAUGACAACAUGUGUGCGCAUGCAGAUUGGCCUCUCGGAUCUAUGGAGUGCUGAUAUGUGUUGCUUGAUAUGAUGGUGUUGUGUCGAGGUGGGUUUGGGAUGUGUGCUUGGAGCGAAGGCAUUUGCCCUUCGCCGGGCCAACGAUGCUGACACCUGUUGGUGCCACAUCCCUCUCUAUUGACUACGAAGGAGUGACUACGUUAAGCUCUUCCUCCAUAUAUGGAUUGUAGGUUGCUACGUAAUUUUGAGACGUAUGUUGAGUUUAAGAUCUUAUGUUGUUUAUCACUUACUGGAUCUCUUUCUUCUUUCUUUCUUUUAUAUUUCCUUUUGACAAGGUUGUGUGUUGUUGCAUAGGCGGCUGGAAUCUAAGCUUUCUUCAUCCAAAAGAAGAUUAUGUAAAACAACCAGAAAGAAACAAAAGGGGGGCGGUUAAUCUCCUUCUAAGGGGAUUAGGGUGGGGGGAUUUUGACUGGUAGGGGAUGUUUUGUAGGAGGAUGUGCACCACAACAUAAGUAACAUGGAAUCUGUGGGUACACUUUUGGCAACAUACCUUCAAACCACAUUCUAUGCAACAAUAAUCUUGUGCAAACCAUAUAUAGCUAUGCCCACCAUUUUUAGAACAAUGUUCAAUAGACUACCAUAUGUAUAUGAACGUGCACGAUGGAUAUUAGAGACAAAACAUAGUAGUAGUAUAACUUGCACAAAACUACAUUUAUGAUCUUUUGUAUUUGAGCCAGGAAGUUCUUUCAAAAGAUAACCCACAAGAAAGCACGCACUGGUCUUGUUGUGCACUAUACGUUAGGUGUUGCAAUUGCAUAUAAUCUGUUUUAUUUAGUUAGUUUGAACAACCGUGCAUGGCUAGGCACUUCCGAAAGGCUUCACUUCAAGUAAUUGUCAAACCAGUCGAUCAUUAGACCAAGAGCUUGCUCAGCAGUUUAUAUCUACAAGCAAAUCCAUGUGCAACUCCUGGAAAGACCUUGGCGUAGUAGGGAAUCUGCAAACAACCAAUGCCACAAAAAUGAGCUUUUCCAACUGAUAUAUAGUAUCCUCUAUGACGGAAUCACUAGGAACUCACCUCUGUUCUAUGACGCAAUACACUCACAUACUGGUACACUAGUUUUGGCGGUGCGACUUCGUCAUAUUGAGCUCCAAGGAUCUCGAUUGGACAUUUAACCUCUGUUUUGAAUGGUCAUAUAGUUAGCAUACGAAAUUAAGCACUUAAGUUCAGUUCCAAAGACAUCUCAAUCGAUGCUGUCUGGGAGGUUGCAAACACAAAGAAAAGGAGCAAACCUUUCAUGUCAUCAGUAGUCACAAUGUAAGGAUGAGAAAUGGAAACUACUUUAACAUCACUGGUUUUCCCCAUCUCUACACUAAACUUUCCUGUCAGUUACGCGGCAAUAGGAGAUAAGAAUUUUAUGCUCUGUAUGUUGCCUGAAGAAGGAUUUUGGAAGCUGGAAUUUCACUCACCACCCCAGCAAUAACCUCCCACCCCGAUGGACUUUCCUUCCUUUUUGAAAGCAGCAAAGAGUGGCUUGGCGUCUUUGGCAGCUUUUACCUGCCAGAUCGAUCGGAUACUCAAAUCAAUAUAUUUUCAACUCAUGAUGCAAUGAGCAUAAGAUGAAAUUUGAAAGGGACAUGGAACAGACCUGGGAGUGGAGCUUGAUCCACUCUGAAAUGUUUUUACUUGAGUCUAAAUAAUCUCCAUUGAAGAAAUCAGGCACCACAACAAAGUAUCCAGCCUCGCUAACUUUAUCGGCUAUCUGUCUGCAUCAUUAAAAGAUCAAGAAAGGGAUGAACAAUAGCUAGUACAGAGAGGGAUUCUUGCGUCGUUGUACUCCAAACAAAAUGCAAUCUAUCUCAUAUGAGAAUUAACUUUCACUGGAUUGUCUUUUUUUUGGAAAAAAAAACUGUACUGUAUUUUACUCUGUACAGAAGCACAAAGCAUUGUUAUGUUUUUUAAAAAAAGAUAGUCAAAUAAAAUUUGCUCUAGAUCUUCAAAGUCUCUAAAAUCAUUUGUUGAUAUUUAAAAGCAGUUUGCUAUGGUUAUGAUUGCGUUGCUACUUGCUACAAGCAUCAUAAGGGAGUACUAAGCAGGAAAAAUCGAAAGCAUGCCAGCCGAAUGAUCUAGUUCUUCAAAGUCUCUAAAAUCUGGAGAGAUGCUAGUUGACCAAGAACAGAGCAUCUUGAUCUACGAUAGUAAGCCAGAGUAGAGCAAGAAAGAACACAAAAUUUGGGAAUUAAAAGACCGUAGAUAUAUUUAUGUACCUGAGUAAAGGUGCCUCGAACCCUGAGGAAAUCAAUCAAAAAGUGGAGAAAAAUUUCCUGUCAAAACGUACGCCCAAAUUGACUAGAAACUGCAUAAGUGUAGUACUACGGUCGAAACACCAACCGAAAACAUCGGAGGCGAGGACGAUGGCGCGGCUUGAGCUUGCAGCUGAAGGAUUGAAAGGGCGAUAAAAGGAGGUGAAUGGGAGCCUAUAAAAAUUCUCAACAAGAAUAAGGCCUAUGUCCCAAAUGCAACCCCAAAGCACACAGCACGUUGUAUCGUCAAGAUGACGCAAGUCAACUCGUGACAAGCUCAUCCUAGGAAUGAUACACGUAUCGAAAGCAAAGUUCAAAGUGAUCCGAAUACGUGCUUGACAUGGCGGAAACAUAAAGUGACUCACAAUCAGAUUCAAGCAAGCCCACAAAAAACUUACUCAACUAAGCAUAAUUAGCAAGAGAGAAAACACAUUAGUACUCAAGCAAGUGAACAAGUAUUAGUUGGCUAAGUGUUAGGAUUAACAGAGGAUUAGAAAAGCUAAUUUAACACCGAACAACAAUGGAUUAGAACGGUGCUAUCAGCCAUGUGCAAGAACUAAUAAUGAUUACUCAAUGAUUUGAUCACUGUAGCUAGAAAGCAACUCUUCGUGGCACGAAGGCACUACCUGCUACUUGCGUUGCUUGCCUGCUCGCUGCUUGGCUUGUCGCCGUGCUUGCGGCCUGGUCUGGCCCGCGACGCAUCAGCUACUCCUGGGUCGCAAGCUCCAGACGGCCUGCUAGCGAUCAGCACCUGGGGCAGCCUGCCAACUCGCUGGGCUGCCGGCCUGCGAAGGCUGCUGGGCCGCUGCUUGCUUCCACCGGCCCGCGUGCCGCUCGCUGUGAACGGCCUGGCAGCAAGUGUAGCGCUGCUCCGUCACCUGCGCACCCGAACAGAAGGAAACGAAGAACAGAGAGAAGAACAGCAAGAACACCCAAGAACACACGUAACUUCGAAUCGUGAGAUCUCCUUCCGCACUCCACGCAUCAAGAUGAAACUUGACCCAAGGAUGCACUACCCUAGGAAAAAUAGAUCCAUGAGACAAAUCACGAAAAUCUCAAGUAUUCAUCGCAAAUCUUAGGGAAAAUCAAAACCCUAACUCAAACUCGGUUUUGGAAGAAACUCAAAAUUCAAGUCGGAUUCGUGAGAUAUAUGGAAGGGGAUCAUAUUAAAGAAGCUCCACGAAGUCCUAGCAACAUUCCCCUUUAACCAAACUCACGAGAUUCGGGCUCCAACAAGAUGAACGAAAAUUCUCAAAAAUGAGUCCAAAAAUAGGAAAAAAGAAAAACGCUCGGGAACAAAGAUUUUGCACGAUUUGAGACAACAAACCACACUAAAUCACGAGAGCAUCUUCUUUACAAAAGAGGGCUAGCCUCCUCCCUUCAUCCACCCACUAAAAGAUGAAAAAAUCAAGAGAAAAGAGUAAUCACUCUCUAAUCUCCCUCUCUCCUCUCACUUUAAGCACAUGACUAGCCUCUAAGCCAAAAGAUAAUGAGUUGCUAAGCAAAGAGGUGCUGAAAUAACCAGCCCCCCAUCCCUAUUUAUAGUCCAGGACGAAAGACUAUACUACCACUACAGCUAUAACUAAGAUAACUACCCACGCAGGGGCAUUUUGGUCCAAGUUUUUAUCUGCGCUAAGACUAUACUACCCCUAUAGCUACAACUAAGACUAUAAUGUUUUGCUUUUCGUGGUCGAAAAGAUUAGAUAGAUAUUUUGUACUGUAGUUGCUCAUCACUCCAAUUAUGUACACUUCUUCGCGCGUUAGGUCCCGUUUGGAUACCCUGCUAAAGUUUAGCACCUGUCACAUCGGAUGUUUGGAUCCUAAUUAGGAGUAUUAAACAUAGGCUAAUUACAAAAUUAAUUGCACAUAUGGAGUCUAAUUCGCGAGAUGAAUCUAUUAAGCCUAAUUAGUUCAUGAUUUGAUAAUGUGGUGCUACAGUAACAAUUUGCUAAUGAUGGAUUAAUUAGGCUUAAUAGAUUCGUCUCGCAAAUUAGCACAGGAUUCUGCUAUUAGUUUUAUAAUUAGCUCAGGUUUAGUCCUCCUAAUUAGCAUCCGAUCAUUUGAUGUGACACUGUUAAAAUUUAGCACAUAAAUAUCCAAACACCCCCUUAUUUCAUUUUUGAUCUUGGAGUCGCCGCUGCCGACCUCGAGACUGGACUAGGGUGGCUGGCUUAAUCCCACCCUGCUGGGAUCAGCCUCCAUGGGGGCGACAGAUGCCACUGCCUAGGCAUGGUGGUGGCUGUUGCUGUAGCCCAGCGUUUGCAGGUGUACUGUGUCCCUGACAAUAUGUGUGCGCAUGCAGAUUGGCCUCUCGGAUCUAUGGAGUGCUGAUAUGUGUUGCUUGAUGGUGUUGUGUCGAGGUAGGUUUGGGAUGUGUGCUCGGAGCGAAGGCCUUUGUCCUUCGCCGGCAAACGAUGGUGGCGCCUGUUGGUGCCAUAUCCCUCUCUAUUGACAACGAAGGAGUGACUACGUUAAGCUCUUCCUCCAUAUAUGGAUUGUAGGUUACUAGGUAAUUUUGAGACGUAUGUUGAGUUUAAGAUCUUAUGUUGUUUAUCACUUGCUGGAUCACUUUCUUCUUUCUCUCUUAUAUUUCCUUCUGACAAGGUUGUGUGUACUACCUUGUUACAUAGGCUAGAAUCUAAGCUUUCUUCAUUCAAAAGAAGAUUAUAUAAAAUAACUAGAAAGAAACAAAAGGGGGCGGUUAAUCUCCUUCCAAGGGGAUUGGGGUGGGGGAGAGGGGGAUAGGGAUUUUGACUGGUAGGGAAUGUUUUGCAGGAGGAUGUGCACCUCAACAUAGGAGGCGUUUGGUUCCCUUUGCUUAUUUUGAGCACGUGUCACAUCGAAUGUUUAGAUACUAAUUAGGAGUAUUAAACAUAGACUAUUUACAAAACCCAUUACAUAAGUGGAGGCUAAAUGGCGAGACGAAUCUAUAAGCCUAAUUAAUCCAUCAUUAGCAAAUGUUUACUGUAGCAACACAUUGUUAAAUCAUGGACUAAUCAAGCUUAAUAGAUUCGUCUCGCAAUUUAGCCUCCACUUAUGUAAUGGGUUUUGUAAAUAGUCUACGUUUAAUACUCCUAUUAGUAUCUAAACAUUCGAUAUGAUGGGUGCUGAAAAUAAGCAAGAGGAACCAAACCAGGCCAUAAGUAACAUGGAAUCUAUGGAUACACUUUUGGCAACAUACCUUCAAACCACAUUCUAUGCAACAAUAAUCUUGUGCAAACCAUAUAUAACUAUGCCCACCAUUUAUAGAACAAUGUUCAAUAGACUACCAUAUGCAUAUGAACGUGCACGAUGCACUACGAGAAUGUCCAAGUUUGCCGUGUGUCCACGGCACACGACGAAGCCAAAAAAACCUCAGCAAAGCCUUUGCUGAGUGGGCAUACAUAGUGCCGGUAAAAAUUUCUUUGCUGAGUAUUUUUUAUCGGGCACUCAGCAAAGACUUUUUUUUUAAGAAACAGGAGGGGGAGACCCCUACUGAAUUUAUUAAAGAGCUAAACAACAAAAGGGUCCAAAUACAAAUCAAGACCGAGAGAUCAAAAAUAAAAUAAAAAAGCAAGAACCAAAAGUAAGAACUGGGAACAACAUUUACAGGGAAUCUACCAAGCUAACAUAAGUGACUGGAUCUGGGUCUUGGCCCUAUGAAGAGCUACCAUGCGAAAUUCCGAGACAAAUUUCCGUUUGAUGUUCCUGAUCAUCGGAGCAGAAUUAUUGAAGAGCAGACUUUGCCAGUGCUAAAAUUGACGCUCGGAAAAAAAAAGCAACAUGACAGUGCGAAAACGGUCAUGCCACGUUUGCCGAGUGUCUAAUGGCAUGGACACUCCACAUGUUUGCCGAGUGUCCACCGAAAAAAUCCUCGACAAACAUGAGUCAUUUUAGACUUUAGGCACAAUUUCCUAAAGGAACACCAGAAAUUUCACAUAAAUUUUCACAUUAGCUGUGUAAAUAAUAGCAAAGUUCUUGCAAGGUGACCAUACUUGCAAGGUAUGCUCGUACAAGUUCAAAUUUGUUGUAAAUCUGCAGUUACAGUCCGAACAUAUAAUGACCUGAACAGCAAAAAGAUCUGCCUCGACAGCACCAGGGGAGGUGGGAGCUCACUCUUUACUGCUUAGCCUAAAUUUCAUAUAUUCCAGUAUAUUUUUUUUAUGGAAGAGGUAACAAUUUUCUUGUGGGAGAUUGUUAGUACAACUGAGCUAAUGGCAUCAUGCACGGUAGAAAAAACGGGGGGCCCUGGCGUGGCGUCCCUGUAGGAAAUGGGGAACGUGUGCCACGCCACACAUGCACGCGUGCGUGCUUAAUUUCAAGGGAAUCAAAUUCUGCACUCGUCCGGCUAGUCUCACUCUCACACCCGACCAUCAUCAGCGAACUAAUGAAGCGAACUUUUCAAGGCCACGCACAUGUAUAAACCGCUUGAGAACACACUUGUACUAAUGAGUUCUCUGUCACAUGAUCCAACAGAUGGUGAUCUCGGCCACGACGAACGACGAUACGAUACACUCGCUACGGUACUACCUGCAGAGAUUCUUGACCUGCUGCCAUUCGUUUCUCGCGCUGGCACGCAGCCUGGUCGUGAUCCUGUGUGCUUUUGCUUGCAGAUGGCGGUUUGAGAUCCUGGAGAUCCAAAUCCUCUCCGCGAUUCUGGUAGUCGUAGGGAGGCUCAGGCUCGCGCGCGCGCGGGGCCUCGCCUCGCACGCCCCUCGAAGCGCGCACGCCAUUGUUGCGUCCCCGCGACUUCCACCGCAGGCAGGAGGGAGAGGGACCGAGGGAGUAGUGCCUGCACCAACUCCCUGGGGGCCGCGGCCAACCGCAGCGCGACGUGUGUCCACUCCGACACGGCGGGCGGGGAGGAGUAAAGAAACCGGGCAGCGCGGGCCACGACCCCACGAAACACCGACGAUUAGUUUAGGUCUUGUUGGAAGUGCCAAAUUAUUGUUACAGUACUGUAUCAUACUGUAGUAUUUCAUUUGUAUUUAUGAAUUAUUGUCCAAACAUUGACUAAUUAGUUUUAAAAGAUUCGUCUCGCAAAGUACAACAAAACUGUGCAAUUAGUUUUUAAUUUCGUCUACAUUUAGUACUUCAUGCAUGUACCGCAAGUUUGAUAUGAUAGGGAAUCUUUUUUUUGCAUAGUGUCAAAGUUGGCAGUGGAGGGUGAACUAAACAAGGGCUUAUAUGCGGCCGCUACGCUACGUACUCCAGCCGGGACAGAAGGAAUCCGGCCACACCUUCAAAAAAAAAAACCAGGAACCCGGGCACCGAGCGAGCCCUUGACCAAGUCCACGCGGUCCAGACAAGCCCACUGGCCAUUGGAAAAUUCGACCCCACAGGAAAUCCUAAGCGAUGUAAUCAUCCAUAUGUGGGUCCAAGACAUGAUUUUUUUGGCUGUGAACACUGCACAGCAACUCGCGAGAAUCUUUUCCCUCAGCCUUUUUUAUCUGUAGGUUUUGGGAGCACCGAGAGGAGGAAAAAUUGGCUUAAGAUGGAGUUGUUAUUGGGUAUGCGGAAAAGUAGGGAACGAAGUUGGACAACUGUUGGAGCUUUGGUUUUUCACCUUGGUUACCAAAACUAGUCAUUGAAAUCAUAUACCGGGCACUCUUGGAGAUGCUAUAACUGAUGAUCUAGUACAUAUAUCUUGAACAUUAUUUUUUUUUAAAAUCUGGUCGGUAGCAGUUAAACUAAUUGUCUAAACCAAUUAUCUAGUACCUAAACCAAUUAUUGUCUCGACCACCUAAACUAAUUGUUGUCUCUUGCACUGUAUCUUCCAGAUGGUAAAAGUAAAUAAAAAAAAUGAAAAUCGGGGUUGGUGGGGUAAAGUGCUCAUGAGACAAAGAGCAUCGUGGGAGGUGAGGCCGUGCUUUACAAAGCACUUUCUCGGGUCGUUCGCAUCUACGACUGUGAGGCCCUGAGAAUUGAAGCGCCCUUCCUCUCUGACACCACCACAAGCUAGCAGAGCUGUAGAGCCAGCUUCCCAGUCGAGAUGGCCGAACUGAUGGCGAGCGCCGCCACGAGCGUGAUGGGGUCCGUCAUCGGCAAGCUGACUGCCAUGCUCGGCGACAAGUACCAGUUCGCCAGAGACGUGGAGCAAGGGAUCCGCUUCCUGAAGGAUGAGCUGAGCAGCAUGGAUGCCGUGCUGCAGAAGCUCGCAGACAAGGACGACGACCAAAUGGAUCCAAUGGAUAAAGAUUGGAGGAACAAGGUGCGUGAGCUAUCCUUCGAUAUUGAGGAUUGCGUCGAUCGCUUCAUGCUCAAUCACAGCCAUGGAGGUUCCAAGGCUAACUUUGUUCGCAAAGCCGUGCGUAAGGUGAAGAUGUUGUGGGAGGACCAGGGCAUAGCAGGGGAGAUCCAAAAACUCAAGAAACUCGUGACAGAGCAGAGUGACCGGGCCAAACGCUACCCUGUGGGAAUGCGGUGCGACUCACCUCAGCCGGUGCGCUUGGAUCCUCGAGCAACUGCCCUCUUUUCAGGAGGCGAGGGAUCCUGUGGGAAUUGAUGGUCCUCGCGAGGAAAUCAUCCAGCUAUUACAAGUUGAAGAAAAGCAGCACAAGGUGGUGUCCAUCUAUGGUACCGCUGGGCAGGGGAAGACUACUCUAGCCAUGGAGGUAUACCGAAAAAUCCCACAAGCAUUUGAUUGCAGGGCUUUCGUGUCUGUAUCUCAGACUCUGGACCUGAAGAAGCUACUCAGAGAUAUAUUGUCUCAAAUAGUAAGCAAGAGCGAGUUUGACCAGUUGCAGUCGGAAAGGUGGGAGACGGAGCAGCUCAUGCGCGAAAUGAUAGACUACUUAAUUGGCAAGACCAGAAUUACUUUCUUGUACUAUAAUAAUUAGCCAGUUCAUCUAGCUAUGGCAAUGUUGUGAGGUCUUUGUCGAUCACAUGAGCUCACCUAAUUUAUCGGCCAUUUUACGGUUGUAUUUUACGGACCCAUUCGAGCAUAAAACUACCACAUAUGCAUUUGUUACAUGACUUCAGCUGUUCAACAUAUCUACCAAAAGCCAUCGCUAAAUAUCUUACAACAAGGUCAAGUCAACUGCCCAUGAAUGUAGGCGUAUGUGGUUGGAGUUGGCCUGUACUAUUGUGCGCAAAUGAUAUUUGAGUAGAAAAUUAUUUACUCUAUACCAUCAAAUAAUUCCAGAUUCAGUAAAAUUAUUUCUUGAUAACUUCAACCAUGUUUGUUUCGUAUAGCCAUUCUAAAUAUCCAUAAAAAUCUUCUUUAAUCCGUCUCUUUACUUUUCUCCAAUAUCUUUCACCAUGAUAUGCUCUAUAUGUUGAAUAGUUAUGAUGGCCUCGUAACAUGAUUCCUCAACCAAUGCAUGCAGGUACUUCAUCUUGAUUGAUGAUAUCUGGAAUGUAUCAGAUUGGGAGCUUGUACAAGCUGCCUUACCUCGCAAUGACAACGGAAGCAGAAUAAUUACUACAACACGCAGUAAAACAGUAGCCAAAACAUGUGCUGGUACUGAUGCACAAAUGUACAAAGCAAAGCCACUUGGUGAUGACGAUUCUCGCAGAUUAUUCUUUAAAAGGCUAUUUCACUCAACUGAACAUUGUCCCCAAGAUUUGAUGGCAGUAUCCAGUGAUAUUUUGAGGAAAUGUGGGGGAUUACCAUUAGCCAUAAUCAGUAUAGCUGGUUUAUUAGCAAACAGAAGCAAAACCAAGGAAGUCUGGGUCAAUGCAUUGAAGUAUAUUUCUGCGGCAGUUGACAAAGAUUCUCACAUUGAUAAAAUGAAAAGAAUUUUUCUGCUUAGUUACUUUGACCUUCCUCUUUAUCUAAGGAGCUGUAUGUUAUAUCUGAGCGUGUUUCCGGAGGAUUAUUUGAUUGAUUGUAGACGGUUGAUAUUGUUAUGGGUAGCCGAAGGACUGAUUCCUGGACAAGGCAGAGAAAAUAUGGAGCAGCUUGGGAGGAGUUACUUGAAUGAGCUGAUCAAUAGAAGCUUGGUCCAACCAACCAAGGUUUGGGCAGAUGGCGCAACAGUUAAAGAGUGCAGGGUUCAUGAUGUCAUACUUGAGUUUAUUGUAUCAAAGGCUGUGGAGGACAAUUUUGUUACUAUAUGGAAUCGUAAUGGGUUUUCUGAAAAUUAUUCUUCCAACAAGAUUCGCCGUUUAUCUAUCCAACAUGACAUUUCUAGGCGGGCUGAAGAGAUGGUGAAGAUAAAAGAACAUGCAGCUCAUAUUCGAUCAAUUAAUAUUUUUGACCCUAAUUCAGUGCUGCUAAUUAAAAACACCUCUAUAUUUUUAAGUAGCCAAGUCUUGCGAGUGCUGAAUAUAGAAGAUCAUGUUUGGGAGGAGUUAGUUGAAGAUUACUGCUAUUUAGGACAUGUCAAAAGUUUUUGUCAAAUGAAGUACUUGAGGUUAAAAAUUUGGAUAUCACUAUGGUUCGAACUCCCAAAAGAUAUAGAAAAGCUGCAACAUCUAGAGACACUAGAUCUUAGGGGUACCUGCAUUGAAAAACUACCGGCUAGCAUUACCCAACUGCAGAGAUUAGUGCGUCUUCUUGUCAGUAUUGAGGUAAAACUACCUGAUGGGAUUGGAAAUCUGCAGGCAUUGGAAGAGCUAUCAUCGAUCAGUUUGGAUUUUCAAACUGUCAAGUUUAUCCAAGGGCUCGGCGAUCUGACCAAUCUGAAGGUACUUGGAAUUAAUUGGAAGCACACUUAUGCAGGAGUACGUCGCGUGGACGUGGAAGACCACAAGGAAGCAUGUAUCUUGUCACUCUCCAAGCUUGUCACAACCCUUCGAGAACUGCAAUUCAUGCAUGAUGUUCCUGAUGACGCACUUUCAUUCAUGGCUUCGUUUGCCUCAUCUUUAACUCCACCACCCCUUCGGAGGCUCGUCUUUCACGAAGGUGGUGGAUCAAGUGUCGUGCCCCAUCAAAUCAUCAGCUCGCUAGUCAACCUGACCCACCUCAAUAUUGGACUAGUAAGCCAGGAAGGGAUAAAUAUCCUAGCAAGUUUGCCCAUGCUCCUCUCUAUUACUGUUCGCGUUUCCUUUGAAGAGGGUAGUUCUGGAAUCAGGUAUACAAUCAGCAGUCAAGGAUUCCAGCGUUUAGUCAAGUUUAAUUUCGACUGUUUUCAUGAUGGGGGGGGCGUUGGAGUUUGAGCCAGGAGCCAUGCCAAAGCUCCAAAGGCUCGAGCUGUACCUGGUGGCACGGGGUCAGUUCAAUUAUGAGCAAGGCGCCCUCGUCCUUGGGCUGCAGAAUCUGGCAAGCCUCAGACAUGUUGCUCUUGGUAUUAACUGUUAUCCAGCUACUCCUGAUGAGGUGCAGGAUUUGGAGGAUGACAUCAGGGUUGCAGCAGGCGCCCAUCCCAACCGUCCCGUGGUCCAGCUGGUCGGAAAACUAAAUGAACAUUGGAUGACUUAGGGUGCAGCAGGCACCCAGCUACCUAGAAGCACAAUGACCAAGUAAAUGCAUGGUGUGGAGAAUAAAUAUCAUUAUCAAUGAUGAUCUUUUUUUCUGUUUCAAGAGCACGUUGGAAUUAAACAAGGUUAAUUCGAUUUGUUUUCAUCUUAGUUUUUGCUUUAUGACAACAUGUGUGCGCAUGCAGAUUGGCCUCUCGAAUCUAUGGAGUGCUGAUAUGUGUUGCUUGAUAUGAUGGUGUUGUGUUGAGGUGGGUUUGGGAUGUGUGCUCGGAGCGAAGGCAUUUGCCCUUCGCCGGGCCAACGAUGCUGACGCCUGUUGGUGCCACAUCCCUCUCUAUUGACUAUGAAGGACUGACUACGUUAAGCUCUUCCUCCAUAUAUGGAUUGUAGGUUGCUAGGUAGUUUUGAGACGUAUGUUGAUUUUAAAAUCUUAUGUUGUUUAUCACUUACUGGAUCUGUUUCUUCUUUCUUUCUUUUAUAUUUCCUUUUGAUAAGGUUGUGUGUUGUUGCAUAGGUGGCUGGAAUCUAAGCUUUGUUCAUCCAAAAGAAGAUGAUAUAAAACAACCAGAAAGAAACAAGGGGGGGGGGGGGGCGGUUAAUCUCCUUCCAAGGGGAUUGGAGGGGAUUUUGACUGGUAUGGGAUGUUUUGCAGGAGGAUGUGCACCUCAACAUAAGUAAUAUGGAAUCUGUGGGUACACUUUUGGCAACAUAUCUUCAAACCACAUUCUAUGCAACAAUAAUCUUGUGCAAACCAUACAUAGCUAUGCCCACCAUUUCUAGAACGAUGUUCAAUAGACUACCAUAUGCAUAUGAACGCGCACGAUGGAUAUUAGACACAAAACAUAGUAGUAGUAUAACUUGCACAAAACUACAUUUAUGAUCUUUUGUAUUUGAGCCAGGAAGUUCUUUCAAAACAUAACCCACAAGAAAGCACGCACUGGUCUUGUUGUGCACUACACGUUAGGUGUUGCAAUUGCAUAUAAUCUCUUUUAUUUAUUUAGUUUGAACAACCGUGCAUGGCUAGGCACUUCCGAAAGUCUUCACUUCAAGUACUUGUCAAACCAGUCCAUCAUUAGACCAAGAGCUUGCUCAACAGUUUUGACAGCAAA
This 32739-nucleotide long non-coding RNA is filed under the name Setaria viridis. Its description in RNAcentral is "long non-coding RNA (SVIR_LNC006254)". The record is from RNAcentral. Lineage: Eukaryota; Viridiplantae; Streptophyta; Magnoliopsida; Poales; Poaceae.